RNAcentral lists this ribosomal RNA (301 nucleotides) under uncultured bacterium. RNAcentral describes it as "partial 16S ribosomal RNA". It matches the Rfam family "Bacterial small subunit ribosomal RNA", at positions 509 to 807 of the family's 1533-position model. The record is from RNAcentral.
CAGUAGCCGCGGGAAUACGUAGGUGGCAAGCGUUGUCCGGAAUUAUUGGGCGUAAAGGGCUCGCAGGCGGUUUCUUAAGUCUGAUGUGAAAGCCCCCGGCUCAACCGGGGAGGGUCAUUGGAAACUGGGAAACUUGAGUGCAGAAGAGGAGAGUGGAAUUCCACGUGUAGCGGUGAAAUGCGUAGAGAUGUGGAGGAACGCCAGUGGCGAAGGCGACUCUCUGGUCUGUAACUGACGCUAAGGAGCGAAAGCGUGGGGAGCGAACAGGAUUAGAUACCCCCGUAGUCCCUGUCUCUUAUAC